GAUCCUGGCUCAGGAUGAACGCUAGCUACAGGCUUAACACAUGCAAGUCGAGGGGAAACGAUAGAGAAAGCUUGCUUUUUCUAGGCGUCGACCGGCGCACGGGUGAGUAACGCGUAUCCAACCUGCCCACCACUUGGGGAUAACCUUGCGAAAGUAAGACUAAUACCCAAUGAUAUCUCUAGAAGACAUCUGAAAGGGAUUAAAGAUUUAUCGGUGAUGGAUGGGGAUGCGUCUGAUUAGCUUGUUGGCGGGGUAACGGCCCACCAAGGCUACGAUCAGUAGGGGUUCUGAGAGGAAGGUCCCCCACAUUGGAACUGAGACACGGUCCAAACUCCUACGGGAGGCAGCAGUGAGGAAUAUUGGUCAAUGGGCGAGAGCCUGAACCAGCCAAGUAGCGUGCAGGAUGACGGCCCUAUGGGUUGUAAACUGCUUUUAUAAGGGAAUAAAGUGAGCCUCGUGAGGCUUUUUGCAUGUACCUUAUGAAUAAGGACCGGCUAAUUCCGUG
RNAcentral lists this ribosomal RNA (505 nucleotides) under uncultured bacterium. RNAcentral describes it as "bacterial SSU rRNA". It matches the Rfam family "Bacterial small subunit ribosomal RNA", at positions 15 to 507 of the family's 1533-position model. The record is from RNAcentral.